Molecule: non-coding RNA, 1094 nt
Organism: Odocoileus virginianus texanus
Lineage: Eukaryota; Metazoa; Chordata; Mammalia; Artiodactyla; Cervidae
Source: RefSeq, a predicted model, not a curated record
GCCAGUCGUCCGCCGUCUGUUUCCCGUCAGUCCUUGGGCUUGGCUGAGGCGUUUUUAGAGAUUGUCUUACCCUCUUGUUCUCUCGCUGAACCAGUUUCAGGAGAAAAGGAAACAAUGGAGAAUGAAACAGGCCUGAAUGAAACAGGCUGGCAGCUGCCCAAACCCAGGGAAGAGUGAACCAAAUUGAGGCCCGCAUGAGGAACUCAGCAAAAGGGACUCUUUGGACCAUUUUGGACUUGAAGGAGGCCUUUUCUGCACACCUUUGAGUUUUGAAUCCCAAGUCUGCUUUUGAGUGGGAAGAUAGAGAUAAAGGAGUUAGACUACAGUACUGUUAGACAGCGCUUCCUUGGGGAUUUACAAGUUCACAAUACUUGGAGAAGUCCUGGCCAGACUUGGAGGACCUUGAACUAAACAGAGGAGGCCCUGCUCCAGAAUGCAGACAAUGUUCUGAUCACCAGUGAGACAGAGGACACCUGAGACCAGCAUAUGUAUUUGACUUCAAACUUCUUGGCUGAAUGAGGCUGUAAGGUGUCCAGGAAGAAGGCAGAUUCUCAGUCCUCUGUUAAAUAUUUGAGAUUUUCAACUCAAGGACAGAGAGCUGCCACUAAUGGGAGUGGGGAAGCUGUAACCAGGAUUGCGGUUGCCUUCAGAAGACACCGUGGGGGUCCUGGGAGUGACCAGGCUCUGCCACAUCUGGACCCUCAAUUUUAGACUCACAGCAAAACCUUUCCAGUGACCCUUUUGAAGGAGGAGACAGGGUUCUGCUAGGCUGGAAUCUUGGAAGAUGAACAUCCAGAAGACUGGCUCCAUCCCUGCUGGUCAGACCCUCAGGAGAACUGCAAUGGGAAAUGGAAACCAUGCUGAAGAAGGAGAACCUCGACAAAGGUUGUCCAAACCUGGCUGGCUCCAGCUCCACCCCAGACACUGGCUGCUCCCAGGGGCAGAGCAACCCGACCGAUCUCAAGUUGCUCUUCAGAAGCUGCAAGGAAAAAAAAACCCUGCAGGAAAGAAACCAAGGUGAGUGGGUUUGCUGCAGUGGUAGCUUUGUUCAAGUCAGAUGCUUUGGAAGGCAACGUAAUGACUUGCUAGAUUAU